GGAGGGGUAUAGCUCAGUGGUAGAGUGUGUGCUUAGCAUGCACAAGGUCCUGGGUUCAAUCCCCAGUACCUCCA
Molecule: transfer RNA, 74 nt
Filed under: Vicugna pacos (alpaca)
Lineage: Eukaryota; Metazoa; Chordata; Mammalia; Artiodactyla; Camelidae
Description: tRNA-Ala (AGC) (tRNA-Ala-AGC-88-1)
Rfam family: tRNA
About the family: Transfer RNA (tRNA) molecules are approximately 80 nucleotides in length. Their secondary structure includes four short double-helical elements and three loops (D, anti-codon, and T loops). Further hydrogen bonds mediate the characteristic L-shaped molecular structure. tRNAs have two regions of fundamental functional importance: the anti-codon, which is responsible for specific mRNA codon recognition, and the 3' end, to which the tRNAs corresponding amino acid is attached (by aminoacyl-tRNA synthetases). tRNAs cope with the degeneracy of the genetic code in two manners: having more than one tRNA (with a specific anti-codon) for a particular amino acid; and 'wobble' base-pairing, i.e. permitting non-standard base-pairing at the 3rd anti-codon position.
Source: RNAcentral